This 263-nucleotide ribosomal RNA is filed under the name uncultured Methanosaeta sp. RNAcentral's name for it is "partial 16S ribosomal RNA". It matches the Rfam family "Archaeal small subunit ribosomal RNA", at positions 1076 to 1338 of the family's 1478-position model. Lineage: Archaea; Methanobacteriati; Methanobacteriota; Methanomicrobia; Methanotrichales; Methanotrichaceae. The record is from RNAcentral.
UCUCUCGGAGUGACGGGUACACUGUGGGACCGCCGCUGCUAAAGCGGAGGAAGGAAUGGGCAACGGUAGGUCAGUAUGCCCCGAAUAUCCCGGGCUACACGCGAGCUACAAUGGUUGGUACAAUGGGUAUCUACCCCGAAAGGGGACGGGAAUCUCCUAAAACCAAUCUUAGUUCGGAUUGAGGGCUGCAACUCGCCCUCAUGAAGCUGGAAUCCGUAGUAAUCGCGUUUCAACAGAACGCGGUGAAUACGUCCCUGCUCCUU